RNAcentral lists this ribosomal RNA (497 nucleotides) under uncultured bacterium. Its description in RNAcentral is "partial 16S ribosomal RNA". It matches the Rfam family "Bacterial small subunit ribosomal RNA", at positions 28 to 507 of the family's 1533-position model. The record is from RNAcentral.
GAUGAACGCUGGCGGCGUGCCUAAUACAUGCAAGUCGAGCGAACAGACGAGGAGCUUGCUGCUCUGACGUUAGCGGCGGACGGGUGAGUAACACGUGGAUAACCUACCUAUAAGACUGGGAUAACUUCGGGAAACCGGAGAUAAUACCGGAUAAUAUUUUGAACCGCAUGGUUCAAUAGUGAAAGACGGUGUUGCUGUCACUUAUAGAUGGAUCCGCGCUGGAUUAGCUAGUUGGUAAGGUAACGGCUUACCAAGGCAACGAUGCGUAACCGACCUGAGAGGGGGAUCGGCGACACGGGAACUGAGACACCGACCAGGCUCCUAAGGGAGGCAGCAGUCGGGAACGGGACGCAGCGGGCGGAAGCAUUGCGGAACAACGGCGCGUGAGUGACGAAGGCCUUCGGAGCGUAAAACUCUGUUAUUAGGGAAGAACAGAUGUGUAAGGAAAUGUGCCCUGCGUGACGGUACCUAAUCAGAAAGCCCCGGCUAACUACGUG